This 403-nucleotide unclassified non-coding RNA is filed under the name soil metagenome. RNAcentral describes it as "partial internal transcribed spacer 1". The record is from RNAcentral.
ACGAGUUUUAAUUGUUAGGUUAGAGUUGAGCUGGUUAAUCUAAUUAAUAUGUGCUUACUCUAAUCGAAACAAGUCCACUCAUUACUUAACACUUGUGAACUUAUUCAUUACAAACAUUGUUAAGUAAUGAGUGGACUUGUUUCGAUUAGAGUAAGCACAUAUUAAUUAGAUUAAACCAGCUCAACUCUUAACAUUAGAGGAAUUAAAACUCGUACAUGAUCUUUCCGUAGGUUAACCUACGGAAGGAUCAUUAUCGUAGAGCUUCGGCUCUUUCGAGGGAGAACCCUUGCCUUUUCGAGCACCUGUUUGUUUCCUCGGCAGGCCCGCCUGCCAAUGGGGACCUUUUUUAAACCCUUGCGAUAACCUGAACAAAAAUCGUCUGAACAAAAAAAAAUCUAAAUCA